Molecule: ribosomal RNA, 429 nt
Filed under: Acidobacteriota bacterium
Lineage: Bacteria; Pseudomonadati; Acidobacteriota
Description: Acidobacteria bacterium partial 16S ribosomal RNA
Rfam family: Bacterial small subunit ribosomal RNA
Source: RNAcentral
UGGGGAAUUUUGGACAAUGGGGGAAACCCUGAUCCAGCCAUCCCGCGUGUGCGAUGAAGGCCUUCGGGUUGUAAAGCACUUUUGGCAGGAAAGAAACGUCAUGGGUUAAUACCCCGUGAAACUGACGGUACCUGCAGAAUAAGCACCGGCUAACUACGUGCCAGCAGCCGCGGUAAUACGUAGGGUGCAAGCGUUAAUCGGAAUUACUGGGCGUAAAGCGUGCGCAGGCGGUUCGGAAAGAAAGAUGUGAAAUCCCAGAGCUCAACUUUGGAACUGCAUUUUUAACUACCGGGCUAGAGGGUGUCAGAGGGAGGGGGAAUUCCGCGUGUAGGAGUGAAAUGCGUAGAUAUGCGGAAGAACACCGAUGGCGAAGGGAGCCUCCUGGGAUAACACUGACGCUCAUGCACGAAAGCGUGGGGAGCAAACAGG